Molecule: ribosomal RNA, 468 nt
Filed under: uncultured bacterium
Lineage: Bacteria
Description: partial 16S ribosomal RNA
Rfam family: Bacterial small subunit ribosomal RNA
Source: RNAcentral
GACGAACGCUGGCGGCGUGCUUAACACAUGCAAGUCGAACGGAAAGGCCCUGCUUUUGUGGGGUGCUCGAGUGGCGAACGGGUGAGUAACACGUGAGUAACCUGCCCUUGACUUUGGGAUAACUUCAGGAAACUGGGGCUAAUACCGGAUAGGAGCUCCUGCUGCAUGGUGGGGGUUGGAAAGUUUCGGCGGUUGGGGAUGGACUCGCGGCUUAUCAGCUUGUUGGUGGGGUAGUGGCUUACCAAGGCUUUGACGGGUAGCCGGCCUGAGAGGGUGACCGGCCACAUUGGGACUGAGAUACGGCCCAGACUCCUACGGGAGGCAGCAGUGGGGAAUAUUGCACAAUGGGCGGAAGCCUGAUGCAGCAACGCCGCGUGCGGGAUGUCGGCCUUCGGGUUGGAAACCGCUUUCGCCUGUGACGAAGCGUGAGUGACGGUAAUGGGUAAAGAAGCACCGGCUAACUACGUG